Molecule: long non-coding RNA, 428 nt
Organism: Morus notabilis
Lineage: Eukaryota; Viridiplantae; Streptophyta; Magnoliopsida; Rosales; Moraceae
Exons: 3
Source: RefSeq, a predicted model, not a curated record
GGCCGCUAAUGGAGCGCAUAAUCAGUCAGUUUCACAACAAGAUGCAGCUGAAAAGAAACCGAAAUCAGAUAUGAAGACAAAAUGUUGUGCUCGUACAAAAAAGAAAGGGGAUAGAAGUUUUCUUGAAGGAUGCCUCUUUGCUUUGUGCUGCUGUUGGCUCUGUGAUGCUUGUUUUGAUGUCACUGUUGUGGCAUGAUAAACGUCAUGAUAUGCCUGCUGGUGCUUCUCGGAGAGUGAAUAGCCGGCGACUGUCAACUCGGAGUUCACAUGGCGACUGUCAACUCGGAGUUCACAUUACAUUUCUGUCAUUUAGUAUUUGUUGUCUAUGAGUAUGUACUAUUCCUGAGUGAUUUGGUUUAAAUAAACAUUGUAGAGGCAUUCGGAACAUAUAACUAUGUAACAGAUACACAUUUGCUAUUUAGUUUGAG